AGUGGGGAAUAUUGCACAAUGGGGGAAACCCUGAUGCAGCCAUGCCGCGUGUGUGAAGAAGGCCUUCGGGUUGUAAAGCACUUUCAGUAGGGAGGAAGGUAGUGUAGUUAACACCUGCACUAUUUGACGUUACCUACAGAAGAAGCACCGGCUAACUCCGUGCCAGCAGCCGCGGUUAAUACGGAGGGUGCGAGCGUUAAUCGGAAUUACUGGGCGUAAAGCGCAUGCAGGCGGCCUGUUAAGUCAGAUGUGAAAGCCCCGGGGCUUAACCUCGGAAUUGCAUUUGAAACUGGCAGGCUAGAGUCUUGUAGAGGGGGUAGAAUUUCAGGUGUAGCGGUGAAAUGCGUAGAGAUCUGAAGGAAUACCAGUGGCGAAGGCGGCCCCCUGGACAAAGACUGACGCUCAGAUGCGAAAGCGUGGGGAGCCAAACAGGAUUAGAUACCCUGGUAG
RNAcentral lists this ribosomal RNA (450 nucleotides) under uncultured bacterium. RNAcentral's name for it is "bacterial SSU rRNA". It matches the Rfam family "Bacterial small subunit ribosomal RNA", at positions 353 to 793 of the family's 1533-position model. The record is from RNAcentral.